Molecule: long non-coding RNA, 5518 nt
Filed under: Sus scrofa (pig)
Lineage: Eukaryota; Metazoa; Chordata; Mammalia; Artiodactyla; Suidae
Description: lncRNA (ENSSSCG00060040819.1)
Source: RNAcentral
UGUGCUUGGGCUGUGGGAUGGAAAUCCUAUGAAAUCAGAUUGUUAUGAUCAUUAUACAACUACAGAUGUGAUAAAUUCAUUUGAGUAAAAAAAAUGAAAAAAAAAAACCAAUUUAGUAAAUACCAACAGGAGUUUGUUGUCACUCUUCCACCUGAUAUAAUAGCUCAUCUCAUUAGUGUGUGAAAAAACGACUCAAUAGUGUGUAUUAGUGCAGAACAUAUUUCAUGUUUAAUAAUUGGUUAAUAGUCAAAUUCUUGCUAUUCUACCAAAAUUGUUUUUAUUUUUAUGCUUUCUGAUGGAAUAGAGAUACUUUAGGAUAUCAAAAAAUCUCACUGAGAUGGAAUGGCAAUAGGUCAGAAUAUCCAAAAACUGAUUCAGUCAGUUCUUUCAAAAUGUUUAAAGUGCUUGACUCAUUAAAAGAAGUUCUCCAUUUUUAAAAAAUGUAAUUCAGAUUUUAAUAUUGCUCUGAAAUCUCUAUAAUUAUUUUAUGUCCCAAAUUUAUUUGCUUUCUAUAUUGCAAUUUUCUAAAAUAAUUAUUCUGUCAUUUUGCAAUCAAGAAGAACAUUUCAGUGUGUCAUAAUAUAAUCAUAAACUGGAUAAGGACUAGGCCUAUCCUAUGUUUCUCUUAUUCUUUAAGUAGGUUUAGAUUAUUGCUGAUGAGGUUAAUUUCACAUACUUGUCAACAGUGAAUUGCCAGACAGGUUUAUGGGAUGGAGAUGCUUACAUACCAUUCAGGGACGUUGAUUACAGAGUGAUAUGAAAUGUAUUUGCAAUAUAUUCUUAGUUAUUUUUAUCUGCUAAGCUUAUAGACCUGUAAAUAAAAGUGGCAGUUUUCCCCAAAGAAUUAAAUUUCAGCUUAUGAGUUUAUUUUAUGGAGCCUCUAUUCUACCUGUACAAGUACUUCAAGUGGUAACACAGGCAAAUACAAAGCAUCCCAUUUUAUUUUAUUAGUGCAUUUUACAACAAUUCUGCAGAUACACAAGCUUCAGAGAUCGUAAACACCCAAGGUCUUGAAGACUUUACCCUCCGAUAAAGUGCAUUUUUGAAAAGUGGUGCUGCCUUCCAACCUAUAAAUACACUGCUACCCUUGAGGGAGCAAAGAUUUAUCUCUUCUCAAUUUACAAGUAAAUCCAUUGUUAACCCACCUCACCUCUUCACCAAUAAAGGGCUGAUUUAUGAUCAGCGGUCAAUGAGGCCAUCUGAGGCAAUUUCUACUAAGGCUAAGAAAACAAAGUACAUGAAAACCUAGUAAAUUGUGCAUCAUUUAAUGUAGAUUAAAUGAUGUGAGCUGUAUUAUACUGUACAGCAUCAGUCCUAAGGAAGCACUUGAUUGUUGUGUACUAUACCACCAUAACAAGAAUAAUGACGCAAGCCAGUAUUAUUCCCCUAACAGAAUGCUGUUCUUGAUGCUUGGGGAUUGUGGCUGUGCCACAGUUGUCUCUCAGAUAAGCCUGCUGAAUUCCUAUUUAUAAACAGUCACUUGCCCAUUGUUCCCUGCAUUUCCUUCCAAAUAAUUUUGGAAUCUAUUUUAUUAUUUACAUGAAUAUAUUAUCCCAUGCUAAAGAACAACAGCAACACAUCAAAAUAAAUAGCACAUUAUAUGUUUAUAAAGAGGAAAUGUGAAAAUAAAUAAAUAGAAAUAAGGAUGGUUCUCAUGGCUAACAGAAAACCUUCUUGAUAAUAGCAAGUGUAGUGUGUGGAAUUUGGCUACAUCUCAAAUUCUCUACCACCUCUCCCUUUAAACACUCAUUCCCUGGGGUAUAAAGAGUAAUUGUCUUUUCUUAAGACAUAUUUAUUUCCUGGGGUAAAAAUACCUUCAGUAGUCCUCUUUCAUAGAGGGCAAGCAGGCAAAGAACCAUGAGGAGGCUUUUUAUGUGACCCUAAUACAUCAUGGCCAAAGGAUCUUAUAAUAUGAGACCUGGGAUAGAUCAUAGUGAGCACUUUCCAGUGCUGAAUGAGAAAAGAAAAUUGAGGAAUAAUGCAUCCUGUAUCCUCUUCUGGGAUAUUUGUAAAACACCUUAACAUUUAAAUCCUAUGAGAAAUUAUGCCAAAGAGAAUUAUAUUCAACUUUACAUGACCCACCCUUCCUCACAUGUACUACAUUGUAAAUUUUUGUUGUUAGGUUGAAAUAAAAUUGAUUCACACAUUAGUAAUGUUACUCUACUCCAACCACUCUUAAAAUGAGAAAACAGAGAUCCAAGGAGGUAAAUAUGACCAUAGUCUCUCUAUUGUAACCUAAACUAGACCUGGGAUCUGUGGAUCACCAAUUCAGUGCAUCUUGGGGCUCUUCUAAAAACUUUGUGAAAAGAUUGUGUUAGAGAUAAGAUCAGGGAAAACUAUAGAAAAAGAGAGAAACAUGCCAUUGCUCAAUAUUUUGAGAAACUUAGUUUGUUAAUAACAUUUUAUUUCUUUAUACUGUUAUAUAAAAUGGUUUGAAAUGUAUUACCUCAUUUAUCUACGUUCGCCUGACAAUAAGGUGUUAUUCUUAGUGAAUUCAUAUCCUGAGAUGUGAAUUUUUCAUUUUUAAAAUUGGAAAAAAUAAAUUGUAUUUUUUUUAAUAUUAGUUUGUUCCAGCUGCCAUAACAAAAUACCAUGGACUGGGUGGCUUAAAUAAGAGAAAUGUAUUUUCUCAAAGUUCUGGAGGCUGGAAGUCCAAGGUCAAGGUGUUGGCAGGGUUGAUUUCUGAUGGAGCCUCUUCCUGGCUUGUAGACAGUAGCUUUCUCACUGUGUCCUUAAAUGGCCUUUAAUCUCUGUGUCAUACCCUUGCUCUCUCUUUUCUUAUAUGGGUAUCAGUCCUAUUGGAUUAGAGCUCAAUCAUGAUCUCAUUUAACCUGAAUUACCCCUUUAAAGGCUUUUUCUCCAGGGAAGGAUCAGGAUGGUGGAGGAGUAAGAUGUGGUACUCACCUUCUCCCACAAACACAUCUAUCUAUCUAUCUAUCUAUCUAUCUAUCUAUCUAUCUAUCUAUCUAUCUAUCUAUCUAUCUAACAAUUCCCACAGAACAUCUACCGAAUGCUUGCUGACAGAGGACCUUAAACCUACAAAAAAUCAAGAAACCCUCCAUGUAACAAAAGGAAAAAAAACAGAGAGAGAUAAAAAAGGAAUCAGGACGGGACUAGCACUCCUGAGAGGGAGCUGUUAAAGAGGAAAGAAACCCACACCCUGGGAAGCCACCUAACCAAUGGCGAGAUCAGCCAAGAUUUAGGGACCUCAAAGUCAUGGAGGAAAGCACAGCAGCUGGACUGAGGAGAGCAAAGCAGAAUGAGAGCUGCAUAGACCAUCUCCACCACCAUCCCCAGAUACCACAGCCAGAGAUACUUGGGAGGGGACUGUGUCCUGAGACUCAGGCUCUAGAGGUCAGUAACAGGGAGGGGACUAGGGUUGGCUGUGUGGUGACAGCCUGAGGGGCUAGGGAGUGGGGUGGGCUGCCAUAGGAAUCUCUUUCCCUGUGCAUGUGCUGACUCCCAGAGGGCAGGGCACAUCUGGCACAGGCUACAGGUGGUUAGGUGCCACUUGCUUGGGCUACAGAUGACCAGGCACCUCUUGUGUGGGCUACAGGUGGCUGAGUACCUCUUGUGUGGGCUAAGGGUAGUGGGGAGCUAAGCACAAUGUGGCACCUCUUGUGUGACCUACAGUGGCAGGGACGAACCACAGCAAUCAUCUCAGACACCAGAGGGAGGCAUGGCCCACCAACACUAGGGGUCUGUGAACAGGCACCACCUGCAGCUCCAGUCACCUCAGAGUUUGGCAAAAAGUGGGCACUACAACCAAGCACCACAGGGUGUUGUUCUCACUCCUCUGGGAACACAUCUGCCCUGCUGCUGCCACUACCAAAUGUUCUGGGAACUACCUACACAUGCCUGAUGACUGUCACGUCACAGGACCCUGCAACUAGGAGCAGCCUGCACAGCAUUUCCUGCAUGGCUAAAUGGGAUGAGGUGUUUCUUGCAUGGCCUACAGGUGGUGGAGGCAAACCACCAUAGUGAUCUCUGACUCCAGAGGUAGGUGUGACCUGCCACCAAAAAGAGUCUAUGAAUAGGCAUCACUUAUGGCCCCAAUCAUCUCAGGGGGCACCAGAAGAGGGCAUUGAAACUAAGCACAACAUUGUUGUGAGACGUGUUUCUACAGUAUCUUCUUAGCAUCUUUGCUGAAAACUCCAUCUUGUCCUGCUUUACUUUACCCCAUAUUUCUGCUUGAAAAAGUCACAAGUGCUGGUGAAUGACUUAAGCUUAAGCACAAAGACCUAAAGGCAUAAGUUAUUCAUAGGGUCAGCUGAAUGAGGACAUGAUGCAUUGGUCUAGGCACCCUGGACAUGUGCAGAUUGGCAUGCUGUUUGCACAGCAUGAUAUGUCCUCUAAAGAAUAAGAGAAACAAGAGACACAUGACCCCAAGGGGUUUAUGAGAGGUCGUUAGCAGGAUAUGCAUUAGCAAGGAGAACCGAGGUGCAAACCUAGGCAUGCCAGGUUGCUGUAGAUAGGCACGCCAUCUGCAGAAGCACAAUGGUGUUCCUCUAGAUGCUAUGCAUAGAUAGCUGAGGCCAAGCUUCCUCAAACUCUAAUGAUUGUUAAAUGCCUAAAGGUCAGAAUAAAAGCUUAAUCAGCAAACAGCUAAGUGACUUUUAAAAUAAUUAAAAAAAAAACCUAUAUCCUGCACCUACAACCCCCUCCUCACAUGACAUAAUCCUCAAGAGCACAAUAAAAGCAGUGUGGUUUCUUGAGGCAGUGCUCUUGGUCCCUGAGACCUUGAAUCCCCUGGUCCCCACCUUUACUUAAGAUAAAUGUCUCUGUGUCUUGUUUUAUGUUAACUUUUUUCCUUAAGUUUUACAGCACCUGUUCUUCAGCCCCAUCCUGCUGAGCUGGUCUCAGCACAACCUAUUGUUGUGUUUACACCCCUGGGAAUUCACACACCCUGCCACUACCAGUGCCAAAUGCUCCAGGCACCUCCUAAAUCUGCUUGAGGCUCAUUACCAUGCCCCAGGGCCCUGCAACUAGGAGUAGCCUGCAACAACUUCCUACAAGUCCUUGCUACUGUCAAGACCCCAGCAACCAGGCACUGACUACUACCCCUUUCCAUUGCCUCCUUCUCCCUAGAAACACAUGUAGCACCCUAUCAAGGGGAUAAAAUUUGCUCACACUGAGGAAAGAGACAUCAAAUAUCCAAACUCCCACACUAAAAAUAAAUAGUAAACCCCCACAAAAUACAAAGGGAAUACAGAGGGGGUGCUCUUGCAUAGAAAUUGACCUCCAAGACUACCGUAGCUGGUUUCUCCAAACUCACACAGAAUCAGAAAAAUACAAAUGAAAUGAAGAAACAGAGGAACCAUUUCCAAUUAAAAGAACAGGAGAAUUCUUUUAAAGUGAAAGCAGCAAACAGUGAAACAGACCUCUGCAGUCUAAUAGAGUUCAAAAAGGAAAAGGUGAAAUUAUUGAAGGGAUUAAAGGUGAACAUGAAGGAAUUAAGAGCAGAUGUAAAUAGUAAUGUAGAUUACUUCAGAAAAGAACUAGAAAAUUUAUGGAGGAG